RNAcentral lists this ribosomal RNA (429 nucleotides) under Chloroflexota bacterium. RNAcentral's name for it is "Chloroflexi bacterium partial 16S ribosomal RNA". It matches the Rfam family "Bacterial small subunit ribosomal RNA", at positions 355 to 776 of the family's 1533-position model. Lineage: Bacteria; Bacillati; Chloroflexota. The record is from RNAcentral.
UGGGGAAUAUUGCACAAUGGGCGCAAGCCUGAUGCAGCCAUGCCGCGUGUAUUAAGAAGGCCUUCGGGUUGUAAAGUACUUUCAGUCGGGAGGAAGGUGGUAAGGUUAAUAACCUUAUCAAUUGACGUUACUGACAGAAGAAGCACCGGCUAACUCCGUGCCAGCAGCCGCGGUAAUACGGUGGGUGUAAGCGUUAAUCGGAAUUACUGGGCGUAAAGCGCACGCAGGCGGUUUGUUAAGUCAGAUGUGAAAUCCCCGGGCUCAACCUGGGAACUGCAUCUGGUACUGGCAAGCUUGAGUCUCGUAGAGGGGGGUAGAAUUCCAGGUGUAGCGGUGAAAUGCGUAGCGAUCUGGAGGAAUACCGGUGGCGAAGGCGGCCCCCUGGACAAAGAAUGACGCUCAGGUGCGAAAGCGUGGGGAGCAAACAGG